GAUUUCGCGUAGCCAAGCGCUCCAUCCAGCACCGACUUGCCCACACUCAGCGCCGUCGCCUCCAUAGCUCUGCAGUUAGCUGUAUUUCUCCUUGGAUUUUUGGCAGAGCCGAUGAUCCUGCAGCCGGUCUGAUUAUUGGUCCAUAUAUAUCAGAGCAAAAAAGCAACACAAGGCCAAUUUAGCUAGCAUAGAGGGUAGCAUUUAAAGUGGAGAAAGACGGGCCAGACCGGAUGAUAUUGCAUCUGGGGUCCAUAGC
This 256-nucleotide long non-coding RNA is filed under the name Setaria italica (foxtail millet). RNAcentral's name for it is "long non-coding RNA (SITA_LNC006098)". The record is from RNAcentral. Lineage: Eukaryota; Viridiplantae; Streptophyta; Magnoliopsida; Poales; Poaceae.